Molecule: ribosomal RNA, 546 nt
Filed under: Enterobacter bugandensis
Lineage: Bacteria; Pseudomonadati; Pseudomonadota; Gammaproteobacteria; Enterobacterales; Enterobacteriaceae
Description: partial 23S ribosomal RNA
Rfam family: Bacterial large subunit ribosomal RNA
Source: RNAcentral
GGUUAAGCGACUAAGCGUACACGGUGGAUGCCCUGGCAGUCAGAGGCGAUGAAGGACGUGCUAAUCUGCGAAAAGCGACGGCGAGGUGAUAUGAACCUUUGACCCGUCGAUGUCCGAAUGGGGAAACCCAGUGUGUUUCGACACACUAUCGUUAACUGAAUACAUAGGUUAACGAGGCGAACCGGGGGAACUGAAACAUCUAAGUACCCCGAGGAAAAGAAAUCAACCGAGAUUCCCCCAGUAGCGGCGAGCGAACGGGGAGCAGCCCGGAGUCUGAAUCAGCUUGUGUGUUAGUGGAAGCGUCUGGAAAGUCGCACGGUACAGGGUGACAGUCCCGUACACGAAAAUGCACAGGUUGUGAACUCGAAGAGUAGGGCGGGACACGUGGUAUCCUGUCUGAAUAUGGGGGGACCAUCCUCCAAGGCUAAAUACUCCUGACUGACCGAUAGUGAACCAGUACCGUGAGGGAAAGGCGAAAAGAACCCCGGCGAGGGGAGUGAAAAAGAACCUGAAACCGUGUACGUACAAGCAGUGGGAGCACCUUCG